Molecule: small nuclear RNA, 183 nt
Organism: Dermacentor silvarum
Lineage: Eukaryota; Metazoa; Arthropoda; Arachnida; Ixodida; Ixodidae
Product: U2 spliceosomal RNA
Exons: 1
Source: RefSeq, a predicted model, not a curated record
AUAUAUAUAUAUAUAUAUAUAUAUAUAUAUAGUUUUUCUCUUGCAACGCCAAAUUUAUGUGGUUCUAUGUGUAUCCAAGAUAUUAAACUUAGUUCUGCAAGUUGGCAGAGUGCUUGAAGCAUGCUUCACCUCCGCCGCGGAUAGGCCCGGCAUUGCACUAUCUCUGGGAUCGGCCUAUGCGUU